Molecule: long non-coding RNA, 426 nt
Filed under: Mytilus galloprovincialis (Mediterranean mussel)
Lineage: Eukaryota; Metazoa; Mollusca; Bivalvia; Mytilida; Mytilidae
Source: RNAcentral
GUUCUUUGAGAAAAUAUGAGCCCUUUUGUACAAACAAAUAUAUUAUAACUUAUAUUGAUCCCUCAUAAAACAUGUAAAAGGGAUAUUUAUAACAUUAAGGGGUUGUCCCCAAACAAAUUAUGACUUGGAUGGAGAAUUGUCUCAUUGUCAGUCACACAUACAUAGACCAGAUUUAAUUAUUUCUUGGUGAACAGGGAAAAAAUACUUCAGAAAUUAAAGAAAUGUCAAAGUACAAGUGAUAAAUCAUGCUUUAAUAUUGUCAAAACCUACUAUUUUAUAAAAUUUAUAAUCGCUCGCCUUUACUUUUCAAGCUUCACCUCAAAAAUUUGCAAAUUAAAUAUUUUUUUUAUUAAAAUUUUCAAAUCGCUCGCUCGCCCCAAAUUUUAGAGUCCAAAAAUCCGUAGAACAAGAAAUUAAAUUGGUGUG